RNAcentral lists this transfer RNA (91 nucleotides) under Clostridiaceae bacterium. RNAcentral describes it as "tRNA-Ser". It matches the Rfam family "tRNA". From Rfam's summary of the family: Transfer RNA (tRNA) molecules are approximately 80 nucleotides in length. The record is from RNAcentral. Lineage: Bacteria; Bacillati; Bacillota; Clostridia; Eubacteriales; Clostridiaceae.
GGAGAGGUGUCCGAGCUGGCCGAAGGGGCGUGACUGGAAAUCACGUGUACGGGAAACCGUACCGAGGGUUCGAAUCCCUCCCUCUCCGCCA